This 264-nucleotide long non-coding RNA is filed under the name Phoenix dactylifera (date palm). RNAcentral describes it as "long non-coding RNA (PDAC_LNC015062)". The record is from RNAcentral. Lineage: Eukaryota; Viridiplantae; Streptophyta; Magnoliopsida; Arecales; Arecaceae.
GCAAACUCUUUCUAUCCCUAUGCAUGCAUACGCAUCAACUGGUCUGUUGCUGUGUUCAGGCAGAGUACAUCUUGAUGAUACCUGAUAACCUUUAUGGGCAUCGGCACUUUCUGUAAGCAAGGCAACAGUUUCUUCUUUCAGAGUCAUGCCUUCUCUCUGGUGCCUUUUGUUGACCUGUCUUAUUAUCUUCUAAUACUAACCAUGAAAUAUUACCUGGACCUGUUGCUCUAUUGAUAAGCCUUCUUAUGUACUGGAACUUUCAAG